UUGGAGUUUCCAUGAAACAAAUAUGGUAUGAUGUAAGGGAAACAUAAAAACCAAAGUUAGUCGAUUAUAGGGUUCAACUAACAUCAGUUUUGAUGUUUCCUUUACAUCAUACCAUAUUUGCUUCAUAGAAACUACA
RNAcentral lists this microRNA precursor (136 nucleotides) under Glycine max (soybean). RNAcentral describes it as "miR5670 stem-loop (gma-MIR5670a)". The record is from miRBase by way of RNAcentral. Lineage: Eukaryota; Viridiplantae; Streptophyta; Magnoliopsida; Fabales; Fabaceae.